ACUCGCUUGGUGAAAUUUGGUAAACACGAUGGAUUUAAAAUCCAUUCUUCCUAUUUAAGUUAUUGGUUCGAGUCCAAUAGCGAGUA
RNAcentral lists this transfer RNA (86 nucleotides) under Osmundea sinicola. Its description in RNAcentral is "tRNA-Leu". It matches the Rfam family "tRNA". Rfam says of the family: Transfer RNA (tRNA) molecules are approximately 80 nucleotides in length. Their secondary structure includes four short double-helical elements and three loops (D, anti-codon, and T loops). The record is from RNAcentral. Lineage: Eukaryota; Rhodophyta; Florideophyceae; Ceramiales; Rhodomelaceae.